The sequence is a ribosomal RNA, 201 nucleotides long. It matches the Rfam family "Bacterial small subunit ribosomal RNA", at positions 1 to 212 of the family's 1533-position model.
GAACUGAAGAGUUUGAUCAUGGCUCAGAUUGAACGCUGGCGGCAGGCCUAACACAUGCAAGUCGAGCGGUUGACGGGAGCUUGCUCCCUGAUUCAGCGGCGGACGGGUGAGUAAUGCCUAGGAAUCUGCCUAUUAGUGGGGGACAACGUUUCGAAAGGGACGCUAAUACCGCAUACGUCCUACGGGAGAAAGCAGGGGACC